CCUACGGGUGGCAGCAGUGAGGAAUAUUGGUCAAUGGACGAGAGUCUGAACCAGCCAAGUAGCGUGAAGGAUGACUGCCCUAUGGGUUGUAAACUUCUUUUAUAUGGGAAUAAAAUGUUCCACGUGUGGGAUUUUGUAUGUACCAUAUGAAUAAGGAUCGUCUAACUCCGUGCCAGCAGCCGCGGUAAUACGGAGGAUCCGAGCGUUAUCCGGAUUUAUUGGGUUUAAAGGGAGCGUAGGUGGAUUGUUAAGUCAGUUGUGAAAGUUUGCGGCUCAACCGUAAAAUUGCAGUUGAAACUGGCAGUCUUGAGUACAGUAGAGGUGGGCGGAAUUCGUGGUGUAGCGGUGAAAUGCUUAGAUAUCACGAAGAACUCCGAUUGCGAAGGCAGUUCACUGUACUGCAACUGACACUGAGGCUCGAAAGUGUGGGUAUCAAACAGGAUUAGAUACCCGAGUAGUC
Molecule: ribosomal RNA, 460 nt
Filed under: uncultured bacterium
Lineage: Bacteria
Description: partial 16S ribosomal RNA
Rfam family: Bacterial small subunit ribosomal RNA
Source: RNAcentral